RNAcentral lists this ribosomal RNA (589 nucleotides) under uncultured Gammaproteobacteria bacterium. Its description in RNAcentral is "bacterial SSU rRNA". It matches the Rfam family "Bacterial small subunit ribosomal RNA", at positions 843 to 1432 of the family's 1533-position model. Lineage: Bacteria; Pseudomonadati; Pseudomonadota; Gammaproteobacteria. The record is from RNAcentral.
GUGGCGCAGCUAACGCACUAAGUAGACCGCCUGGGGAGUACGGCCGCAAGGUUAAAACUCAAAUGAAUUGACGGGGGCCCGCACAAGCGGUGGAGCAUGUGGUUUAAUUCGAUGCAACGCGAAGAACCUUACCAGGUCUUGACAUCCUCGGAACUUGGCAGAGAUGCCUUGGUGCCUUCGGGAACCGAGUGACAGGUGCUGCAUGGCUGUCGUCAGCUCGUGUCGUGAGAUGUUGGGUUAAGUCCCGUAACGAGCGCAACCCCUGUCCCUAGUUGCCAGCGAUUCGGUCGGGAACUCUAGGGAGACUGACGGUGACAAACCGUAGGAAGGUGGGGACGACGUCAAGUCAUCAUGGCCCUUACGACCUGGGCUACACACGUGCUACAAUGGAACGCACAGAGGGCAGCGAACCCGCGAGGGGGAGCGAAUCCCACAAAACGUUUCGUAGUCCGGAUUGGAGUCUGCAACUCGACUCCAUGAAGUCGGAAUCGCUAGUAAUCGUGAAUCAGAAUGUCACGGUGAAUACGUUCCCGGGCCUUGUACACACCGCCCGUCACACCAUGGGAGUGGGUUGCUCCAGAAGUGGUUA